AGCAGAAUACAAUAUACUAUAAAAAAUUGAAAUCCAGGAUGGCGGCCGCUACAAAAUGGCGGAUAACGUAGGUUUUAUCGAUCCCAUCAAUAUGGGUAUCAAAUGAAAGUGCUCAACCAGUAUAAUCAAUGUACUAUAUAAAAUUAAAAUCCAAGAUGGCGGCCUCUACAAAAUGGCGGAUAACUUAGGUUUUAUCAAUCCCAUCAACAUGGGUAUCAAAUGAAAGGUCUCAACAAGUAGAAUACAAUUUACUAUGCAAAAUUGAAAUCUAG
RNAcentral lists this unclassified non-coding RNA (272 nucleotides) under Melitaea cinxia (Glanville fritillary). Its description in RNAcentral is "misc RNA ENSMCXG00005014838.1". The record is from RNAcentral. Lineage: Eukaryota; Metazoa; Arthropoda; Insecta; Lepidoptera; Nymphalidae.